CCGGCCAACUACCAGCAUGGCUGACUCCGGUCUGUGGGCGGAGGCGUGUGCAACCCUUCGGCCAUGUUGUUCUGGCUAAAGGUUCGAGGAAAGGGGAGAGAGUUUUUGUGUGACUCACCUCCGCGGCCCUCGCUGUCAGCUGGCUUCACCUGGAUCGGCCGAUUCAUCUGAACAACAGAACAACAACAGAACAGAGGCGGUCAGCGCGGAAAAGGCUUUCUAUCUCACGCCACCUUCCGUAAGCACUCCUGAUUUGGGUUUUGGCCGUCUAUCCAUGCUACCAUCCAUCCUGCUCUACGGAGACAUUGAUCAGUCCCGUCUUGUCCAUUGAUUUGGGAUUCUGUUGUUGGUGAGGUUUGUGAAUCCAUUUGAGUGUGUGUGAUAAUCUGAUGAGUUUCUACAUCAGCGAGGCAGAGAGAACCAAAGGAAAAAAAGAGAAGCAGCAGGUGAGAAGAACGCUCUGCUGCAACACAAUGGCAUCGGAAAAUUGGCAUGGCAACCAGCUCGUUGUCAUGGCAAUCAUAUGACGGCACACUGGGUAGGUAAACAAAGAUGCUACUUGCCAAGGGUGCUUGCUGUGCUCUGAGGGUAAACAAAGAAUUAGUGCUGGAGAAUGGUUAGCUAGUGGCUUGGUACGCUCUUUCACCCCCACCACACACACACACACACACACACACACACACACACACACACACACACACACACACACACACACACACACACACACACACACACACACACACACACACACUUUCUAUGGGAGUUUGGAACAACAACAUAUUGCCUGAGAAGAAGUAAGUGAGCAGAGCAGGAGGGAGUGCGAGGUGCGCGCGUGCCCAUAGAUCAGCCUGACUGUUGUGUUCUGUCUUGUCUUGUUGUGCUUAAGUCAAAUCUUGGACGGGUGGUUCUGAAACUGUAAUUUCGUUGUACUGGGACGCCAGUACAAUGACAAAUAAAGGUCCUCGAUUCUUCUGGUAAUAACGAAGAGCUGGGGCAGAGGCCCGAGGAGGAAGUGUGUAGGAGAGAGAGGGUGGAGGAACAGAAUCUAUAUUUGUGUCAUUUAAAUUUUACUUAAUUCUGUGAGAAAAACGCAGAGCAUCCAGUUACUGGCACAUCAGUCCGUCUUUUAUUUUAAUCCAACACACGAGAACAGCCACACACUCCUUUCUUGUCAAAUUAUCCUAAUUACUCACGUUCCAAUUAAGGCUUAAUUAACAGUAACCAUCUGCAAACGAGCAUGUAGACGGAGAGGGCGUCAGACUGCAGCUCGCUCUGAUCCGUGCUGCAGAAUACUAAGAAGCCCUCGCCGAGUUUCUGCCUUUCACAUGAAAGUGAAUUGGUAUGUGAGGCGAUGCACGAGGGCAUGUAUGUGAUAUAUGAUGGGAGCGUGAGCACACUCACUCGGCAGAGCCACGUGCACUCAUGCAUGCACGGUUGAAUCAUGAAUGCAAACAGAGCUUCAUUUGCAUGCUGUGGGGACGCCAAAAAUACACACAGUACAUGACACUCCUCUCUGCACACACACACACACACACACACACACACACACACACACACACACACACACACACACACACACACACACACACACUGUCGUGCAGUUAUUCCCCUCUCCCUCUGUCCUUCUGGUCACACAGAAACAAACACAUACUACACACUUACAGUUAAUCUUGCUCCCUGCAGUAACGCAGAGAGGAUUGUACCAGGAUUAGAGGAUAUUAAAUCCUUGGAUUAUCCAAUCAAAUGUUAUUUUCCGCCUCCCCCUCCCACUCAAAACCAGUGGACCGAACCAACACACCAUGAUGUGAGGGACAGGAGCAUUACGUGUACGGACACAUGUGCAGAACUUCUGGUCGUUCAUCUUGUUCUCUCUUUUUGCCAAAAACACUAAAGGGAAGCUUUCUGCGACAGAAACAACCUGAAUGCAGGUCACAUAAGUAGGCAACCUUUGCAUUCGCCCUUCCCUUUCAGUUUCCCUCACAAUUUCAAAAGUCCAUUAUCCAAAGUGCUCAAGGAUUGAAAACUAUUUUUAUCCCUUCUCCACGACGUAGCCUUAUUUCUGCCUCUGCCUCUCUCGAUCCCCUCUCAGCUCCAUAAUCCAACCACAGCGCCGGACGACGACGACAUCACAGGUCUGCUAGCUUUUGUGGCCCGUUUGUUUCUUUCACACGUGCAACGCACACACACACACACAUUCAAGCUCAACAUCAGUGUUCCAAAUGAGUGUAUUUUACACACGAGCAAACGUGACUGGAACUAAACUCGUGCAGCUCGUCACGCUUCAACGGUGGACCGUUUUUAUCUCGCUGGAAACUGAAGGAAACACUUUAUCCUGUGCUAAAUCCUAUUGGUGUGUUUUUGGGAAUGUGCCGCAGCUGGACGACGACGCUGAACUGUGAGAAACAGAGAGCGAGUGAAAAGGUGGACCAGCGUUGCAGCUCCGCCCCUGUGCUUAUCGUUUCCCUGUACCGCCACACUAGGCAUUGCAUCCCUGAGGUUCCCUAGCAACCUGGCAUCUUGCUCAGCCUCGUUGCUUAGCAACACCGGCCUGCAACCAUAAUAAAAGCUCAUGCAUGGCCCAUCCCCCUACACUCAUCCCUCGCUGCUCUGUCACUCUCGUUUCAUUCUUCACACCUGAGGAGUCUGCCCUCCCUCCGUUAUCGGGCUGUUAACCCUUCAUCGGCCUCUCUGAUGGAGCAUGAAUUAACAUUUCUUUUACGUUGACCCAUCCACUUUCAUAUUGAUAAUAAUAAUACCCAGCUUUGGACGAAGCCAGAGUAACCGCCCUGUUGAACUGUAGCAUUUGUGUCUUUUUGUCCAACGUGUAACGAGAAAAUUCAGCAUGCAGCAGUAGAGCACUCACUGAAAUUUGAUCCUUUGGAUUUAGUUCAGCGUAAUCCAGCAGCACUAUAGUGGAUAGCUGCUAGACCCAUGCACUCGGACUUUUUUCUAUUUUUGGGAGGGUAAGUCCUUUGGGAAAUGAGCUUGUGAAUUAAAAAGCCUGCUCAAAGCCACACUAAUUCAUGACUGCAGAAACCUCGUAUUCAGAGUUUACACUCAGCCCGUGACGCGUUUAUGAAAGCUCAGAUCCUUUAGACUACUAUCUUAUGGUACUAGGCAUUACUUUUAAAGAGCAAGUCACAUCAAAAUCAACUUUUUUUUAGCUGAUAACUAGUACAAAUGAGUGUCUAAGGCCUAGUCCACACGUAGCCGGGUUUUUUGAAAACGAAUAUCCGCCCCUCCAAAAACUUGCAUCCACACCACCUCGUUUUAAAAAAACUCUGUCCACACGUACCCGGAUAAAUACGUUGUUAAGGACAUGCCAGACCUGUAGGCGGCAGUACUUCCCCCGUUUUUAACCUCGUCCUUCGUCUGUGGUCUUCCGCAAGGAGCAGUAAUUCCUCUUGCAAAAACAAACGAGCAAAAAGCGCUUGGACAAUUGAUAAAGCGAGCGCAGCUCUGAGGGCUUCCAUGCUGUCGGCUAGUGUAAACACAGGUCGCACACGUGAUGUCAGCAUUUUUUUUGUCGUGGAAAGUGACGUUGCGGACCUUAAAACUCCGGUUUUGUCUGUCCACACGCAGACACCCAAAACGGAGAAAACGCAGAUCUUCACUUUGGCCGGAGUUUUUAAAAAGAUCCGUUUUCGUGUGGAUGACAGGCCAACACGUAGAAAAAUAUCUACGUUUUGGCAGAUCUCCGGCUACGUGUGGACAGGGCCUAAUAGUGUUGUAGACAUGUGUAGAUAUUAUUUUAGCAUUUUGAUGCAUUUUCUUUGAAAACUCUAAAUCCUGUCUAAAAACGUCAGUCUAGCGCCCUCUUCAGCUCAAAAGUAUAGAACAGGUUUGUUUUGAGUCGGUUUUAGCCAGUGGCUAACCAGAACGAUGCUACGUAUCCAAGAACAGUACUACGUAGCAGCUCUGUGGCUGUGGGCUAUAAAAGCACUGCGGUCUCAACCAGCCUUGUAGCAGUCGGGGCUCGGAUUGGCCGCUAGUGGGUUGUGCUGCAGUUAGCGUUAGCACUGUGUCAGAAUCUCAGCAAAGCUUCUAGCAUUAUAUUUAUUUACUUCUAGUAGCUUGACUGUUAGAUUGUAGUUUAGUGUUUUUUUACAUGUGAGUCUUUCGCCAACUGGAUGGAGUUUGAACCGGUUAUGCUGGUUUGAAGAACAUUUCACAAAUUAGUCCAAGCCGUUCCAGUAAUUAGCCGAAUCCCGCCAACUGCCGCUUCCCCAAAAAGGAGAUUUUGGGCCCAAUCUGAGCUGAGUAAGUACACCCAUACAUAUAGUAUGAGGACAUAAUUAGAAGAAAACAGCAGUACAGCUUCGCUUUGCAACGAUGACUCAACGAUGUGUUUGAAGAGAUCAGACCAGAGUGGACAUGUCUGUCUGGGAUGGCGCUGAUUCUGAUAGAACGUGAACGCAGAAUGAGCUCAAACACCUCAGCUGUCAUCACAGUGGUCAGAGGGGAACCACGGGUAAAAUAAUCCCAGUCACAUCAUUAAGCCUACGACUAAAGCCCGGGUAAUUCUGGAACGACCAAAAUUAAAUGUGUAGAUUUUGAAGAAUAAAACAAGGCAACUGUAAGUGGAAUGGUGGAAUACCAUUUUUAAUAUUUUAGCCUAUAUUUUUGUUUUCAUUUUAUAUUAAUCAAAGUUUGUUGCUAAUCUGAGGAUUUCUACAUCUUACCUAAUGUCCAAGUGAGAAUCAGGUAAUUCAGGCCCUGAUAAAGGAGGAUGAUUUUACAGUUUUCUUCGAUUGCUAAAACUCAAAAAGCAAAAGUGAGGCACAAUUUUUACAACCUCUACUUCUGUUCCCAAUCGCUUGACUCACUUUAUCACUACUUAAGAUUUCCUUAUCGUAUUAGAACUCUGAUUUUCCUCCUUUAUACUCUGAUGUCAAUUUCACAUUACCUUGCUGUCAGAACACAGCACACAAUUUUCAGGUUUACACACACUUCUCACAUAAAUUCUGAAAGCUUCAAUCAACACUCAAAUAUUCAAAUCUCUAAACUUUCAGGUCUGGCGAGCAAUUUGCAAUUAGAGAUUGCAGCAUAAAAGUAAGUUUCCACAAGGCUGCCCAGGUGUAUGAGUGGUUUCAGGACCACCCACGGUUUUCCAUUUUAUACCUUCCACCUUAUUCCCCCUUCCUCAAUCCCACUGAGGAGUUUUUAUCAGCCUGGAGGUGGAAGGUGUACGAAAGGAAUCCACAGAGCCAGGUCCCACUCCUUCAAGCCAUGGAGGAGGCUUGUAGAGAUGUGGCCUUUGAGACCUGUCAGGGCUUCAUGAGGCACUCGGGGCGGUACGUCCAGCGCUAUUUGGACCAGGAGGACAUCGCCUGUGAUGUUGAUGAGGCCCUCUGGCCAGACAGAGACCGGAGGCAUGAUGCCCCAUGAUUAUGCUUGAAUGGGAGAGGGGGUGGGGGGUUAACUGUAAAAAUAAAAUGUUUUGUCUCAAAAUUUGUGUGUGUGUGUGUGUGCGUGUGGGGGACUUUAAAAAUACAAUUUUUGUCUCAAAAUGUGUGUGAUGUCUAAUGUUUGUCUCAGAGAAAAGUGGGCACUGUCAUACAUUCAGUGUGUAAUGCAUUGGGUUCCAUUUAGACAAUUGUGUUUUCAGUUUUGCUCUUCAGGGCUCUUUCCAUGCUUGGUAGUGUUCACCCAAAGGCUACUUGUGUUUAAGCAAUGAAUGGUGUGUGUGUGUGUGUCAUGUGAAAAUGUGGCUGUGUUUACCAAAUGAAAACACGUGUUCCAUUUUGGGAACAUGUUACGAUAUGUGAUGGCAGGGUUUUGUGUGUGCAGUUUUGAAAAACAUGUUUUAGCAAUCGACAAAAACUGUAACUAACUGUAAUUACUUUAUUUAUUCAUGCAAGAGCUAUUUAUUAUCUAGUUUGUUCCAGUUUACAUUAAAAUACUUUCUGUUAAAUAGGGAGGCACAAUUAUGAAUUUUGAAACAGUGGUUCACUGAUGUUUAUAUGUGA
Molecule: long non-coding RNA, 5969 nt
Organism: Nothobranchius furzeri (turquoise killifish)
Lineage: Eukaryota; Metazoa; Chordata; Actinopteri; Cyprinodontiformes; Nothobranchiidae
Source: RefSeq, a predicted model, not a curated record